GAAUCUCAGGAAGACUUUCCAGUAUGGGGGCCGCAUUGAGUCCCCAAACAGCAUGGAGCUGAAGGCCAUGUUGGCUGGCAGGAGCUCCAAGAGGCAGCUGUUUCUAUUACCUGGCGGAAUCGAGCGACACCUAAAAAUAAAGACAUGCUCAGUUGCCCAGGAUGCCAUUGAGGAGCUGUGCUAUGAGAUGGGUCUGAACAAACUUACGGCCAUGGAUGAAUAUGCCAUAU
Molecule: long non-coding RNA, 230 nt
Organism: Clupea harengus (Atlantic herring)
Lineage: Eukaryota; Metazoa; Chordata; Actinopteri; Clupeiformes; Clupeidae
Gene: myo15aa
Exons: 3
Source: RefSeq, a predicted model, not a curated record